RNAcentral lists this non-coding RNA (404 nucleotides) under Pantoea septica. Lineage: Bacteria; Pseudomonadati; Pseudomonadota; Gammaproteobacteria; Enterobacterales; Erwiniaceae. The record is from RNAcentral.
UUCCAGGGUAGUGUCGAGCGGCUUAAUGUGCAAAGCGUUAUUGUUGAGAUCGACGUUGCCGCUGGCGUGCACCAGCUCGCCGUCGAGCGGAAUAUCAAGCUUCAGGUGUCCCUGGGUUUUUCCCUUUAUCUCCAGCUGCUCCAGCGCCGCGCCCAGCGACUUUUUCAGCGGCGUAUCCUGGAAAUAGCGCGCGAUCUGAUCGCCAUUGCCGCUGAUAUCGCCGUCGAUCAGCAGCUUCUCUUUCAGAUAGUCCGGGAUGACCGCGCUGAAAUUGCUGACGUCGACUUCGCCCAGCCUGAAGCGCGGCGCCCGCAUCCACAGCCCGUCGUUGAUAAAGUCGAGAUCGAUAUCGAGCUGCGUCACGUCAGGCCAGUUGGGCUGAAAGGCGUAGGUUCCGUGACGCA